Non-coding RNA from Gossypium raimondii (Peruvian cotton), 144 nucleotides. NCBI's taxonomy places the organism in Eukaryota, Viridiplantae, Streptophyta, Magnoliopsida, Malvales, Malvaceae. The record is from Rfam.
UGUUAAAAAUUUCAUCUAUUUUUACUGUAAAAACUGGCAUGACUAACGGAAUAACCAAACAGUUAUAUGUGGCGUGUCAUGUGUACCUCAUUCUAAUGUAUAGAAACUGAAUUUUAAUAGUAAAAAUUGAUGACAUAUUUAACA